This is a long non-coding RNA of Sturnus vulgaris (Common starling), 596 nucleotides long. RefSeq lists it as uncharacterized. The record is from RefSeq and is a predicted model, not a curated record. Lineage: Eukaryota; Metazoa; Chordata; Aves; Passeriformes; Sturnidae.
UAAUCAUACAAAAUUCUCUGAGAGCGCUCAGAGGUAUCUUUUAAAUUGUUCUUUUCAACCUUCUCUUUGGAAUUGUCAUUUCUUUGGAGGUGGCAGUCAGCAUGGGAAGUGCUGUGAGAAAACUGAACCAAAUUUAGCACUCGAUAGGAACAAAAUCCUUCUGCUUGGCUUCGCUGUAGGUCUACAGGAUCUUGAAGCUGAGUCUGUUCAGUAGGAAAUUACUGGCACAUUCCCUUGGUCUGUGUGACAUUCUCAAUUCUUGCCUUAGUCCAGGACAUUUUUACUGUAGCCUUGCAAGGGAGUGAAGCAAAGUAUUUACACAUUUAAACCAUAUUUUAUCCAUUUAUUUCCCCACUGAAACUGCUUCCACAUGAUGACAAGUUCUACAAUAACAGCCCAAAAUUGCAACUUCUAGUUUUCAUCUUUAAGCUGUCUUGUAGUUGCUGCACUCUGUCCUAGAUGCAUCAGUCUGAUACUGCUUAUACAAUUUUAAUGCUGUGCACUGAACUGCAAGCAUUUGAGAUGGACUUACAUGGUGGCAAAUUAACUGAGAGACAAAACAUCAUAUUAAUGAUGGAGAAUGAUAGAUACACUUA